UUAAGCGACUAAGCGUACACGGUGGAUGCCCUGGCAGUCAGAGGCGAUGAAGGACGUGCUAAUCUGCGAAAAGCGUCGGUAAGGUGAUAUGAACCGUUAUAGCCGGCGAUGUCCGAAUGGGGAAACCCAGUGCAAUUCGUUGCACUAUCGUUAACUGAAUACAUAGGUUAACGAGGCGAACCGGGGGAACUGAAACAUCUAAGUACCCCGAGGAAAAGAAAUCAACCGAGAUUCCCCCAGUAGCGGCGAGCGAACGGGGAGCAGCCCAGAGUCUGAAUCAGCUUGUGUGUUAGUGGAACGGUCUGGAAAGUCCGACGGUACAGGGUGAUAGUCCCGUACACCAAAAUGCACAGGCUGUGAACUCGAAGAGUAGGGCGGGACACGUGGUAUCCUGUCUGAAUAUGGGGGGACCAUCCUCCAAGGCUAAAUACUCCUGACUGACCGAUAGUGAACCAGUACCGUGAGGGAAAGGCGAAAAGAACCCCGGCGAGGGGAGUGAAAAAGAACCUGAAACCGUGUACGUACAAGCAGUGGGAGCACCUUUAGGGUGUGACUGCGUACCUUUUGUAUAAUGGGUCAGCGACUUAUAUUCUGUAGCAAGGUUAACCGUAUAGGGGAGCCGCAGGGAAACCGAGUCUUAACUGGGCGUUAAGUUGCAGGGUAUAGACCCGAAACCCGGUGAUCUAGCCAUGGGCAGGUUGAAGGUUGGGUAACACUAACUGGAGGACCGAACCGACUAAUGUUGAAAAAUUAGCGGAUGACUUGUGGCUGGGGGUGAAAGGCCAAUCAAACCGGGAGAUAGCUGGUUCUCCCCGAAAGCUAUUUAGGUAGCGCCUCGUGAACUCAUCUUCGGGGGUAGAGCACUGUUUCGGCUAGGGGGUCAUCCCGACUUACCAACCCGAUGCAAACUACGAAUACCGAAGAAUGUUAUCACGGGAGACACACGGCGGGUGCUAACGUCCGUCGUGAAGAGGGAAACAACCCAGACCGCCAGCUAAGGUCCCAAAGUCAUGGUUAAGUGGGAAACGAUGUGGGAAGGCACAGACAGCCAGGAUGUUGGCUUAGAAGCAGCCAUCAUUUAAAGAAAGCGUAAUAGCUCACUGGUCGAGUCGGCCUGCGCGGAAGAUGUAACGGGGCUAAACCAUGCACCGAAGCUGCGGCAGCGACGCUUAUGCGUUGUUGGGUAGGGGAGCGUUCUGUAAGCCUGCGAAGGUGACCUGUGAGGGUUGCUGGAGGUAUCAGAAGUGCGAAUGCUGACAUAAGUAACGAUAAAGCGGGUGAAAAGCCCGCUCGCCGGAAGACCAAGGGUUCCUGUCCAACGUUAAUCGGGGCAGGGUGAGUCGACCCCUAAGGCGAGGCCGAAAGGCGUAGUCGAUGGGAAACAGGUUAAUAUUCCUGUACUUGGUGUUACUGCGAAGGGGGGACGGAGAAGGCUAUGUUAGCCGGGCGACGGUUGUCCCGGUUUAAGCAUGUAGGCUGGUUAUCCAGGCAAAUCCGGAUAAUCAAGGCUGAGGUGUGAUGACGAGGCACUACGGUGCUGAAGUAACAAAUGCCCUGCUUCCAGGAAAAGCCUCUAAGCAUCAGGUAACAUCAAAUCGUACCCCAAACCGACACAGGUGGUCAGGUAGAGAAUACCAAGGCGCUUGAGAGAACUCGGGUGAAGGAACUAGGCAAAAUGGUGCCGUAACUUCGGGAGAAGGCACGCUGGUGUGUAGGUGAAGUCCCUGCGGAUGGAGCUGAGACCAGUCGAAGAUACCAGCUGGCUGCAACUGUUUAUUAAAAACACAGCACUGUGCAAACACGAAAGUGGACGUAUACGGUGUGACGCCUGCCCGGUGCCGGAAGGUUAAUUGAUGGGGUUAUCCGUAAGGAGAAGCUCUUGAUCGAAGCCCCGGUAAACGGCGGCCGUAACUAUAACGGUCCUAAGGUAGCGAAAUUCCUUGUCGGGUAAGUUCCGACCUGCACGAAUGGCGUAAUGAUGGCCAGGCUGUCUCCACCCGAGACUCAGUGAAAUUGAACUCGCUGUGAAGAUGCAGUGUACCCGCGGCAAGACGGAAAGACCCCGUGAACCUUUACUAUAGCUUGACACUGAACAUUGAGCCUUGAUGUGUAGGAUAGGUGGGAGGCUUUGAAGCGUGGACGCCAGUCUGCGUGGAGCCAACCUUGAAAUACCACCCUUUAAUGUUUGAUGUUCUAACGUUGGCCCCUUACCGGGGUUGCGGACAGUGUCUGGUGGGUAGUUUGACUGGGGCGGUCUCCUCCCAAAGCGUAACGGAGGAGCACGAAGGUUAGCUAAUCCUGGUCGGACAUCAGGAGGUUAGUGCAAUGGCAUAAGCUAGCUUGACUGCGAGCGUGACGGCGCGAGCAGGUGCGAAAGCAGGUCAUAGUGAUCCGGUGGUUCUGAAUGGAAGGGCCAUCGCUCAACGGAUAAAAGGUACUCCGGGGAUAACAGGCUGAUACCGCCCAAGAGUUCAUAUCGACGGCGGUGUUUGGCACCUCGAUGUCGGCUCAUCACAUCCUGGGGCUGAAGUAGGUCCCAAGGGUAUGGCUGUUCGCCAUUUAAAGUGGUACGCGAGCUGGGUUUAGAACGUCGUGAGACAGUUCGGUCCCUAUCUGCCGUGGGCGCUGGAGAAUUGAGGGGGGCUGCUCCUAGUACGAGAGGACCGGAGUGGACGCAUCACUGGUGUUCGGGUUGUCAUGCCAAUGGCACUGCCCGGUAGCUAAAUGCGGAAGAGAUAAGUGCUGAAAGCAUCUAAGCACGAAACUUGCCCCGAGAUGAGUUCUCCCUGAGACUUUAAGUCUCCUGAAGGAACGUUAAAGACGAUGACGUUGAUAGGCCGGGUGUGUAAGCGCAGCGAUGCGUUGAGCUAACCGGUACUAAUGAACCGUGAGGCUUAACCUU
This 2902-nucleotide ribosomal RNA is filed under the name Klebsiella quasipneumoniae subsp. similipneumoniae. RNAcentral's name for it is "bacterial LSU rRNA". It matches the Rfam family "Bacterial large subunit ribosomal RNA". Lineage: Bacteria; Pseudomonadati; Pseudomonadota; Gammaproteobacteria; Enterobacterales; Enterobacteriaceae. The record is from RNAcentral.